GAUGAACGCUGGCGGCGUGCCUAAUACAUGCAAGUCGAACGAGGUCUUCGGACCUAGUGGCGAACGGGUGAGUAACACGUUGGUACCUACCCUCGAGUGGGGAAGUAACUGGCCGAAAGGUACGGCUAAUACCGCAUAAUACCGCAAGGUUAAAGUAGUAAUACGCUCGGGGAGGGGCCGUGCGUCCCACUUAGCUAGUUGGUAGGGUAAGUGGCCUACCAAGGCGACGAUGGGUAGCUGGAUCGAGAGGUUGACCAGCCACA
Molecule: ribosomal RNA, 263 nt
Filed under: uncultured bacterium
Lineage: Bacteria
Description: partial 16S ribosomal RNA
Rfam family: Bacterial small subunit ribosomal RNA
Source: RNAcentral